This 274-nucleotide ribosomal RNA is filed under the name uncultured bacterium. Its description in RNAcentral is "partial 16S ribosomal RNA". It matches the Rfam family "Bacterial small subunit ribosomal RNA", at positions 523 to 796 of the family's 1533-position model. The record is from RNAcentral.
AUACGGAGGGUGCAAGCGUUAUCCGGAAUCAUUGGGUUUAAAGGGUCCGCAGGCGGAUUAAUAAGUCAGUGGUGAAAUCCUCUCGCCCAACGAGAGAACUGCCAUGGAAACUGUUAGUCUUGAAUUCGGUCGAAGUAGGCGGAAUGUGUCAUGUAGCGGUGAAAUGCAUAGAUAUGACACAGAACACCGAUAGCGAAGGCAGCUUACUAGACCUGGAUUGACGCUCAUGGACGAAAGCGUGGGGAGCGAGCAGGAUUAGAAACCCUAGUAGUCC